GCUUGUUGGGGUUGUAGGACACUCUAUACGGAGUUACAAAAGAACAUGUUAGACGAAUCAUCUGGAAAGAUGAAUCAAAGAAGGUAAUAAUCCUGUAGUCGAAAACAUAUUCUCUCUUGAGUGGAUCCUGAGUACGACGGAGCACGUGAAAUUCCGUCGGAAUCUGGGAGGACCAUCUCCUAAGGCUAAAUACUCUCUAGUGACCGAUAGUGAACCAGUACCGUGAGGGAAAGGUGAAAAGUACCCCGGAAGGGGAGUGAAAGAGAACUUGAAACCGUGUGCUUACAAGUAGUCAGAGCCCGUUAAUGGGUGAUGGCGUGCCUUUUGUAGAAUGAACCGGCGAGUUACGAUCUGAUGCAAGGUUAAGCAGCAAAUGUGGAGCCGCAGCGAAAGCGAGUCUGAAUAGGGCGUUGAGUAUUUGGUCGUAGACCCGAAACCAGGUGAUCUACCCUUGGUCAGGUUGAAGUUCAGGUAACACUGAAUGGAGGACCGAACCGACUUACGUUGAAAAGUGAGCGGAUGAACUGAGGGUAGCGGAGAAAUUCCAAUCGAACUUGGAGAUAGCUGGUUCUCUCCGAAAUAGCUUUAGGGCUAGCCUCAAGUGAUGAUUAUUGGAGGUAGAGCACUGUUUGGACGAGGGGCCCCUCUCGGGUUACCGAAUUCAGACAAACUCCGAAUGCCAAUUAAUUUAACUUGGGAGUCAGAACAUGGGUGAUAAGGUCCGUGUUCGAAAGGGAAACAGCCCAGACCACCAGCUAAGGUCCCAAAAUAUAUGUUAAGUGGAAAAGGAUGUGGCGUUGCCCAGACAACUAGGAUGUUGGCUUAGAAGCAGCCAUCAUUUAAAGAGUGCGUAAUAGCUCACUAGUCGAGUGACACUGCGCCGAAAAUGUACCGGGGCUAAACAUAUUACCGAAGCUGUGGAUUGUCCUUUGGACAAUGGUAGGAGAGCGUUCUAAGGGCGUCGAAGCAUGAUCGCAAGGACAUGUGGAGCGCUUAGAAGUGAGAAUGCCGGUGUGAGUAGCGAAAGACGGGUGAGAAUCCCGUCCACCGAUUGACUAAGGUUUCCAGAGGAAGGCUCGUCCGCUCUGGGUUAGUCGGGUCCUAAGCUGAGGCCGACAGGCGUAGGCGAUGGAUAACAGGUUGAUAUUCCUGUACCACCUAGUAUCGUUUUAAUCGAUGGGGGGACGCAGUAGGAUAGGCGAAGCGUGCUGUUGGAGUGCACGUCCAAGCAGUAAGGCUGAGUGUUAGGCAAAUCCGGCACUCAUAAGGCUGAGCUGUGAUGGGGAGAGGAAAUUGUUUCCUCGAGUCGUUGAUUUCACACUGCCGAGAAAAGCCUCUAGAUAGAUAACAGGUGCCCGUACCGCAAACCGACACAGGUAGUCAAGAUGAGAAUUCUAAGGUGAGCGAGCGAACUCUCGUUAAGGAACUCGGCAAAAUGACCCCGUAACUUCGGGAGAAGGGGUGCUCUUUAGGGUUCACGCCCAGAAGAGCCGCAGUGAAUAGGCCCAAGCGACUGUUUAUCAAAAACACAGGUCUCUGCUAAACCGUAAGGUGAUGUAUAGGGGCUGACGCCUGCCCGGUGCUGGAAGGUUAAGAGGAGUGGUUAGCUUCUGCGAAGCUACGAAUCGAAGCCCCAGUAAACGGCGGCCGUAACUAUAACGGUCCUAAGGUAGCGAAAUUCCUUGUCGGGUAAGUUCCGACCCGCACGAAAGGCGUAACGAUUUGG
This 1726-nucleotide ribosomal RNA is filed under the name Serratia marcescens. RNAcentral describes it as "partial 23S ribosomal RNA". It matches the Rfam family "Bacterial large subunit ribosomal RNA", at positions 287 to 2012 of the family's 2925-position model. Lineage: Bacteria; Pseudomonadati; Pseudomonadota; Gammaproteobacteria; Enterobacterales; Yersiniaceae. The record is from RNAcentral.